RNAcentral lists this non-coding RNA (22 nucleotides) under Arabidopsis thaliana (thale cress). Lineage: Eukaryota; Viridiplantae; Streptophyta; Magnoliopsida; Brassicales; Brassicaceae. The record is from RNAcentral.
UCCACAAGCUUGCAGUUGUUGC